Molecule: ribosomal RNA, 2758 nt
Filed under: Staphylococcus aureus
Lineage: Bacteria; Bacillati; Bacillota; Bacilli; Caryophanales; Staphylococcaceae
Description: 23S ribosomal RNA
Rfam family: Bacterial large subunit ribosomal RNA
Source: RNAcentral
UUAAGUUAUUAAGGGCGCACGGUGGAUGCCUUGGCACUAGAAGCCGAUGAAGGACGUUACUAACGACGAUAUGCUUUGGGGAGCUGUAAGUAAGCUUUGAUCCAGAGAUUUCCGAAUGGGGAAACCCAGCAUGAGUUAUGUCAUGUUAUCGAUAUGUGAAUACAUAGCAUAUCAGAAGGCACACCCGGAGAACUGAAACAUCUUAGUACCCGGAGGAAGAAAAAGAAAAUUCGAUUCCCUUAGUAGCGGCGAGCGAAACGGGAAGAGCCCAAACCAACAAGCUUGCUUGUUGGGGUUGUAGGACACUCUAUACGGAGUUACAAAGGACGACAUUAGACGAAUCAUCUGGAAAGAUGAAUCAAAGAAGGUAAUAAUCCUGUAGUCGAAAAUGUUGUCUCUCUUGAGUGGAUCCUGAGUACGACGGAACACGUGAAAUUCCGUCGGAAUCUGGGAGGACCAUCUCCUAAGGCUAAAUACUCUCUAGUGACCGAUAGUGAACCAGUACCGUGAGGGAAAGGUGAAAAGCACCCCGGAAGGGGAGUGAAAUAGAACCUGAAACCGUGUGAUUACAAGUAGUCAGAGCCCGUUAAUGGGUGAUGGCGUGCCUUUUGUAGAAUGAACCGGCGAGUUACGAUUUGAUGCAAGGUUAAGCAGUAAAUGUGGAGCCGUAGCGAAAGCGAGUCUGAAUAGGGCGUUUAGUAUUUGGUCGUAGACCCGAAACCAGGUGAUCUACCCUUGGUCAGGUUGAAGUUCAGGUAACACUGAAUGGAGGACCGAACCGACUUACGUUGAAAAGUGAGCGGAUGAACUGAGGGUAGCGGAGAAAUUCCAAUCGAACCUGGAGAUAGCUGGUUCUCUCCGAAAUAGCUUUAGGGCUAGCCUCAAGUGAUGAUUAUUGGAGGUAGAGCACUGUUUGGACGAGGGGCCCCUCUCGGGUUACCGAAUUCAGACAAACUCCGAAUGCCAAUUAAUUUAACUUGGGAGUCAGAACAUGGGUGAUAAGGUCCGUGUUCGAAAGGGAAACAGCCCAGACCACCAGCUAAGGUCCCAAAAUAUAUGUUAAGUGGAAAAGGAUGUGGCGUUGCCCAGACAACUAGGAUGUUGGCUUAGAAGCAGCCAUCAUUUAAAGAGUGCGUAAUAGCUCACUAGUCGAGUGACACUGCGCCGAAAAUGUACCGGGGCUAAACAUAUUACCGAAGCUGUGGAUUGUCCUUUGGACAAUGGUAGGAGAGCGUUCUAAGGGCGUUGAAGCAUGAUCGUAAGGACAUGUGGAGCGCUUAGAAGUGAGAAUGCCGGUGUGAGUAGCGAAAGACGGGUGAGAAUCCCGUCCACCGAUUGACUAAGGUUUCCAGAGGAAGGCUCGUCCGCUCUGGGUUAGUCGGGUCCUAAGCUGAGGCCGACAGGCGUAGGCGAUGGAUAACAGGUUGAUAUUCCUGUACCACCUAUAAUCGUUUUAAUCGAUGGGGGGACGCAGUAGGAUAGGCGAAGCGUGCGAUUGGAUUGCACGUCUAAGCAGUAAGGCUGAGUAUUAGGCAAAUCCGGUACUCGUUAAGGCUGAGCUGUGAUGGGGAGAAGACAUUGUGUCUUCGAGUCGUUGAUUUCACACUGCCGAGAAAAGCCUCUAGAUAGAAAAUAGGUGCCCGUACCGCAAACCGACACAGGUAGUCAAGAUGAGAAUUCUAAGGUGAGCGAGCGAACUCUCGUUAAGGAACUCGGCAAAAUGACCCCGUAACUUCGGGAGAAGGGGUGCUCUUUAGGGUUAACGCCCAGAAGAGCCGCAGUGAAUAGGCCCAAGCGACUGUUUAUCAAAAACACAGGUCUCUGCUAAACCGUAAGGUGAUGUAUAGGGGCUGACGCCUGCCCGGUGCUGGAAGGUUAAGAGGAGUGGUUAGCUUCUGCGAAGCUACGAAUCGAAGCCCCAGUAAACGGCGGCCGUAACUAUAACGGUCCUAAGGUAGCGAAAUUCCUUGUCGGGUAAGUUCCGACCCGCACGAAAGGCGUAACGAUUUGGGCACUGUCUCAACGAGAGACUCGGUGAAAUCAUAGUACCUGUGAAGAUGCAGGUUACCCGCGACAGGACGGAAAGACCCCGUGGAGCUUUACUGUAGCCUGAUAUUGAAAUUCGGCACAGCUUGUACAGGAUAGGUAGGAGCCUUUGAAACGUGAGCGCUAGCUUACGUGGAGGCGCUGGUGGGAUACUACCCUAGCUGUGUUGGCUUUCUAACCCGCACCACUUAUCGUGGUGGGAGACAGUGUCAGGCGGGCAGUUUGACUGGGGCGGUCGCCUCCUAAAAGGUAACGGAGGCGCUCAAAGGUUCCCUCAGAAUGGUUGGAAAUCAUUCAUAGAGUGUAAAGGCAUAAGGGAGCUUGACUGCGAGACCUACAAGUCGAGCAGGGUCGAAAGACGGACUUAGUGAUCCGGUGGUUCCGCAUGGAAGGGCCAUCGCUCAACGGAUAAAAGCUACCCCGGGGAUAACAGGCUUAUCUCCCCCAAGAGUUCACAUCGACGGGGAGGUUUGGCACCUCGAUGUCGGCUCAUCGCAUCCUGGGGCUGUAGUCGGUCCCAAGGGUUGGGCUGUUCGCCCAUUAAAGCGGUACGCGAGCUGGGUUCAGAACGUCGUGAGACAGUUCGGUCCCUAUCCGUCGUGGGCGUAGGAAAUUUGAGAGGAGCUGUCCUUAGUACGAGAGGACCGGGAUGGACAUACCUCUGGUGUACCAGUUGUCGUGCCAACGGCAUAGCUGGGUAGCUAUGUGUGGA